This 539-nucleotide long non-coding RNA is filed under the name Anas platyrhynchos platyrhynchos (common mallard). RNAcentral's name for it is "lncRNA (ENSAPLG00000027066.1)". Lineage: Eukaryota; Metazoa; Chordata; Aves; Anseriformes; Anatidae. The record is from RNAcentral.
GGUGGGUUUAGGGCACCCAUGGGUGCUAUGGGAAGGAGAUAGGGGUUGGGGCACCCAUGGGUGCUAUGGGUUUGGAGGUAUGGAGUUGGGGACCCAUGGGUGCUAUGGGGCAGGAGAUAAUGAUCUAGGGCACCCAUGGGUGCUGUGGGGCUGGAGGUGUGGAGUUGGGGACCCAUGGGUGCUGUGGGGCUGGAGAUAAGGUUCUGUAGCACCCAUGGGUGCUAUGGGGCAGGAGACGGGUUCAUAGCACCCACGGGUGCAAUGGGGGCAGCAGACCACGGGCGCAGGACCCCCGGGGGUGGGUGGGGGGGUGGUGGUGUGGGGGUGUCUGCGGGCGUUCCGGGGGCACCCUUGGGUGCUGCUGUCCCAUGGGUGCCCCCCCCCCGUCCCCCCAGACGACGGGCGGCUGGAGGAGCUCAAGGCCUCGCUGCCCAGCCCCGAGGAGCUGCCCGGCUUCCGCAUGUACCCCAUCGACUUCGAGAAGGUGGGUGCCCCCCCUCCCCCACCCCCCAGCACCCAUGGGUGCCCCUGCCCACCCC